Macaca fascicularis (crab-eating macaque) is the source of this 1690-nucleotide long non-coding RNA. The record is from Ensembl. Lineage: Eukaryota; Metazoa; Chordata; Mammalia; Primates; Cercopithecidae.
UUUUUUUUUUCCACAUGUUCGUUGGCCAUAUGUAUGCCUUCUUUUGAGAAGUGCCUGUUCAUGUCCUUUGUCCACUUUUUAAGGGGUUGUUUUUUUCUUGUAAAUUGGUUUAUUAGACCUUUGUCAGAUGGAUAGAUUGAAAAAUGUUCUCCCAUUUUGUAGGUUGUCUGUUCACCCUGAUGAUAGUUUAUUUUGUUGUGCAAAAGCUCUUUAGUUUAAUUAGAUCACAUUUGUCAAUUUUUGCUUUUGUUGCAAUUGCUUUCUGUCAUGAAAUCUUUGCCCAUGUCUAUGUCCUGACUCAUAUUGCCUAGAUUUUCUUCUGCAAAAAUGUUUUCCCAUUCUGUAGGUUGUCUGUUCAUCCUGAUGAUAGUUUAUUUUGUUGUGCAAAAGCUCUUUAAUUAGACCGCAUUUGUCAAUUUUUGCUUUUGUUGCAAUGCUUUUGGUAUUUUUGUCAUGAAAUCUUUCCCCAUGACUAGGUCCUGAUUGGUAUUGCCUAGAUUUUCUUCUAGGAUUUUUAUAGUUUUGGGUUUUAAAUCAUUAAUCCACCUUGAGUUAAUUUUUGCAUAAGGUGUAAGUAAGGAGUCCAGUUUCAAUUUUCUGCAUAUGACUAGUCAGUUCUCCCAGCACAAUUUAUUAAAUAGGGAAUCUUUUCUCCAUUGCUUGUUUUUGUCAGAUUUGUUGAAGAUCAGAUGGUUGUAGGUGUGUGGUCUUACUUCUGAGUUCUCUAUUCUGUUCCAUUGGUCUAUGUGUCUGUUUUUUUCACCAGUACCAUGCUGUUUUGGUUACUGUAGCCUUGUAGUAUAGUUUGAAGUUGGGUAGCAUGCUGCCUCCAGCUUUGUUCUUUUUGCUUAGGAUUGUCUUGGCUAUUCAGGCUCUUUCUUGGCAGAACCAUGAGAUCUUUAAGCCACCCAGUUUAUGGCAGUUUGUUACAGCCACCCUAGGAUAUAUACAUACAUAAUGUAUGCAUAAAUGUAUGUAACACAUUUUAAUCUAUUUAAACAUUAAAAAUAAUGAAACACAAGGCUUUUAUGUGCCCUUGCCUCUUUGCCUGUACCUACAACACAUGCAUAACACACACACACACACACACACACACACACACACACUUUACCUAUUAACUAACUAGUGCAUUCAUUUUGUCAGAUUUUCUUUUUAACUUUAAUUCAGUCAUCAUACAUGGUUUCAGUGCAUAGAGAGGACCUCUGAAUGUGCCACUGAAGUCUGGCAGGCUACGGUGGCAGCAGUCCUCUCUAGCUGACUUGGCAGUGUGUGAGCAGCUCUCUCACAAUGCCAGACAGGGGGUAGGGAAGAAUGAAUCACCAGAUGGCUGAAAAGAGACACUUCCAUUCGUGUGACCCCACUGAUGUGUGCCAUGCAGAGAGAUUGCUGAGAAUGGAGACAGGCUCAUGCUUACUGGAAACAGUACUCAGUGCCCCUGGGUCCUCAGGUACAACAACAAAGAAAAGGUGUUUGAAAGGUGCCCCACAUCCUGCUUGACUGCAGAGCUUAUGGACCAGGCUGGCGAAUUCCCACUUGCCAUGACUCUGUAAGUGAAGAGCUGCCCUACAAAGUGAGAGAAUUAACCUUCAAAGAGCAGGCUGGGUGGUUUCCUUCUGUCUCUCAUGCUUGACAUUCCCUGGCUGCCCCAGGAACCUUAUGCAAUCCCCUGCGUUUCCCUGCCAGGCCCAUA